GCUUGUCUCAAAGAUUAAGCCAUGCAUGUCUAAGUAUAAAUCUUUUACUUUGAAACUGCGAACGGCUCAUUAUAUCAGUUAUAGUUUAUUUGAUAGUCCCUUACUACUUGGAUAACUGAGGUAAUUCUUGAGCUAAUACAUGCGAAAAAUCUCGACUCACGGAGAGAUGCUUUUAUUAGAUCAAAACCAAACGGCUUCGGCCGUCUCAUUGGUGACUCUGAAUAACUUUGGGCUGAUCGUAUGGCCUUGUGCCGACGACGUUUCCUUCGAAGGUGUGCCCUAUCAACUGUCGACUGUGAUAUAGACGCUCACAGUGGUUUUGACGGGUAACGGGGAAUCAGGGUUCGAUUCCGGAGAGGGAGCCUUAAAAACGGCUACCACAUCCAAGGAAGGCAGCAGG
This 400-nucleotide ribosomal RNA is filed under the name Crustacea environmental sample. Its description in RNAcentral is "partial small subunit ribosomal RNA". It matches the Rfam family "Eukaryotic small subunit ribosomal RNA", at positions 30 to 432 of the family's 1831-position model. Lineage: Eukaryota; Metazoa; Arthropoda. The record is from RNAcentral.